RNAcentral lists this ribosomal RNA (255 nucleotides) under uncultured bacterium. RNAcentral's name for it is "partial 16S ribosomal RNA". It matches the Rfam family "Bacterial small subunit ribosomal RNA", at positions 524 to 776 of the family's 1533-position model. The record is from RNAcentral.
UACGUAGGGUGCGAGCGUUGUCCGGAAUUAUUGGGCGUAAAGGGCUCGUAGGCGGUCUGUCACGUCGAAAGUGAAAACUCAGGGCUCAACCCUGAGCCUGCUUCCGAUACGGGCAGACUAGAGGUAUGCAGGGGAGAAUGGAAUUCCUGGUGUAGCGGUGGAAUGCGUAGAGAAUCCGGAAGAACACCGGUGGCGAAGGCGGCCUGCUGGGACAAUGCUGACGCUGAGAACUCGAAAGCAUGGGGAGCAAACAGG